GAGAGUACAGCUUAGUGGUAGACUGUCUGCCUCACAUGCACAAGGUCCUGGGUUCAAUCCCCAGUACUUCCA
This 72-nucleotide transfer RNA is filed under the name Camelus bactrianus (Bactrian camel). It matches the Rfam family "tRNA". Rfam says of the family: Transfer RNA (tRNA) molecules are approximately 80 nucleotides in length. Their secondary structure includes four short double-helical elements and three loops (D, anti-codon, and T loops). Further hydrogen bonds mediate the characteristic L-shaped molecular structure. tRNAs have two regions of fundamental functional importance: the anti-codon, which is responsible for specific mRNA codon recognition, and the 3' end, to which the tRNAs corresponding amino acid is attached (by aminoacyl-tRNA synthetases). tRNAs cope with the degeneracy of the genetic code in two manners: having more than one tRNA (with a specific anti-codon) for a particular amino acid; and 'wobble' base-pairing, i.e. permitting non-standard base-pairing at the 3rd anti-codon position. Lineage: Eukaryota; Metazoa; Chordata; Mammalia; Artiodactyla; Camelidae. The record is from Rfam by way of RNAcentral. RNAcentral also lists the same sequence under 3 other names.